This 239-nucleotide unclassified non-coding RNA is filed under the name uncultured fungus. RNAcentral describes it as "sequence contains ITS2". The stretch from base 1 to 52 matches the Rfam family "5.8S ribosomal RNA", at positions 103 to 154 of the family's 154-position model. Lineage: Eukaryota; Fungi. The record is from RNAcentral.
AACGCAUAUUGCGCCCUCUGGUAUUCCGGGGGGCAUGCCUGUUCGAGCGUCAUUACAACCCUCAAGCUCUGCUUGGUAUUGGGUGUCACUGCUAGAGUACACCUUAAAAUCAGUGGCGGUACCACCUGGGCUUCUAGUAUAGUAAUGAUUCUUACUAUGGAGCCUUGGGUAGUUGCUAGCCAGCAACCACACUUUCAAUGGUUGACCUCGGAUCAGGUAGGGAUACCCGCUGAACUUAA